Molecule: long non-coding RNA, 4313 nt
Filed under: Theobroma cacao (cacao)
Lineage: Eukaryota; Viridiplantae; Streptophyta; Magnoliopsida; Malvales; Malvaceae
Description: long non-coding RNA (TCAC_LNC004047)
Source: RNAcentral
CCAAAUCACAAGCUUGUUUCUUUAACUAAUAUGUUGGGGUUUUGGUGCCACCAAUCAAAGUUCCUUCUCUGCUCUUUCAGGCCCAGACGGUAAGCUUCUCAUCUUUUUCAGCUCGAGUCGGUUGCAACUUUCUCUGUAGUUGGAGCUUAUAUAGGGGUCAUGAACCUAAAUGGGUUUUGGAUUAUGUAGCUGUUUGCAUGAUCAGGGAACUGUGGUCUUCCAAGAUUUAUGGUUAAAAAAAAAAAAGUAAAAUUCCAUAGCUGACAAUUAUAGCAUAUUUUAUGAUUGCUUGAAAACUGGGAGCAUAUCAGUUAGAAGUAACUGUGAUGUUUCCUUUGGCUUUCUCUCCGACAACUAAUAUCAUUCAAGACCUUUUUUCCUAUCUGUUUUCUCCCUUUUGUGCUUUACCAGGAUCUUCUUGAUAUGUCUGAGAUUUCAAUGUCGUCAAUUUUGUUUCUGUGUUGCUUCAAGUGCAACGAAAUCAUAUAUAUAUAUAUAUAUAUAUAUAUAUGUAUGUAUGUAUAUAUAUUAGUAUUUGAAUUUAUUAUGUACUGGGACAUAAGUGCGCAAGGAUUGUCUAAAGCCAAAGGAUAAAGAAUUCCAGUCUUUCAUCUUUUUCUUAUGGUUUGGACCAUCGUUUGACUAUUUUUAUCAUUAAAAAGUUGCAUAUUGUUAUCAUGAGGUAAGAUUUGUUUCCUUUUAAGGUAAUCAUCUGGUCUAAUGAAGAAUUACGGCAUCUCAUUCAACUGUGAAAGACAUGUUUUUAUCAUAAAACUGAACAGUGUGUUCCUUAAACAAUCACUAAAUUAUUGUUAAUAGAAAGCAUCUUAUCAAUCAGAAAAUUAGCAGUAUUUUUAUAUCCCAUUCAAGGGAUUCAAAUUUUUUUUUAAAUUUUCAAUGUCAUGAUACUUCUUCCCUGAUAAUUAGUGGAGUAAGUGAAAGGAAACUAGAUAGUGUUUCCUUUCAUUUACUUCAACUACAUCAUACAAGUAAACAAAUUUGCCAAUUAAAUCUGCUUUUAUGGAAGGCCUGACUAUUAAAUCUGCUUCCUGUUUUAAAAUCAGAUAAAAAUAUGUAUGCAAAAGUCACGCCUAUUAGAUCCUUGAUUUAGACUCACAAAAUCUUUUGAGACCUUAAUUGUAUAUAUUGUCAUGUUCAGAAAUUUUUUUUUUGCAUAUAUCUGUAUAUUGUCUUCAAAACACAGCUAAACUAUUAUCUCUAUUUACAUGUGAAGUGAUUUAAAUUUUCUGAAGGUCAUAUGGUUCUUAGUUCCCAUGGUAUGUACCAUAUAUGUUUGUAGGUACUUUAUCAAACAUUUCAUAUGGUUCUAUGUUUGAAUUUGAUUGAACCUUGCAGAGAAUCCUAAUAGAAUUUAGAGGUGCACUUUCUAGAACCUUUAAAAUUUGCAGCCAAUCUCAAAUAAAUUUUCUAAUCUGCUUUUCUGACCUCUAUUGGUGAACUUGCAGUAAGAAAAGCUUCCCAUUUAACUGAAUAGUUAUAUAAUUCUCAAACUUUCUUGAAUUUGAAAGUUCCUGGCUAGGAGGCAGUCUACAUGCCAAAAGUAUGACAAAUGAACUUUCCUUGAGUGUAAAGUAAAGUAAUGGUCACUUGGAUCAGUAUGAAGGCUAAAGAAUUACUAGUUUCCUAUAGGGUUACAUCUAUGAUUGGUUAUCUGUUAUGGAAGUAAACUGUUACUGGCUCUCUACAAUUCACACUGAGAAUGAACCAAACCUUUCUAUGACACAAGGGUAAAGCUAAUGCUGUGAAUGGUUGGACUUAGACAUUACAAUUAGCUAUUGUAUCAAAACCUCAGUGUAGAAGAUUUUGUGGUCAGAUUGCUCCUUACGGCUGAUUUAUGUAGGUUGUCCAUGUGUAGAAUAUCUACAAGCAUAUGGAUAUAGUAUUCAAUAUCAAUUUGGCAUUUUGUUUUUGUUUCAUUUGCCUUCCUCUUUUUGGGAAAGAAAGAUAGGAUAUCAAUUUCAUGCUCUUACUGGAUGUAUAUAUCAUCGGUCUAACAGAUGCUGGUUGAGUCUCAUAUACUUUUAUUGUUCAAUGUCCACAUCAAAGUCUAUUAGUUUUAAGUUUACAAACCCUAUGUACUUGUAUUGUUCAAUAUCCAUAUCAAAGUCCACAAGUUUUAAGUUUACAAAAGCCUAAUAUCUUUAAUAAUUGGUUAUUUUAUUAAAAAAUAAUUAUCUAGGAUUUUCUGCUUAAUUUUGUUCCAUCAUCAACCUUAAUUUGGGCAUCUAUGUUAACUUUGAUUUCUUUAGGUUUCUCUGAGUGAUUGGGUGAGUCACCACUCUUAAAUUGACAAUAUAGUGCCAUGACAGAAACUGUCUAUAUUUAGUUCUCCCUUAUUUAUGCUCUUUGGUAAGAUUGGUUUCUUUGCAUAUGUCUGAUAGUGUAUCUAUGUAGGUAACAUGGCUUGUCUGGCAUGGAUGAAACAGCUAGCUUGAAGUUUACCUUCAAGCUAGGAACAGAUAAAGCAUCUUAGAGAAAUGCAGGUCAUCUGAGGAAUUGUGUCUUCUUUCCAUUUGUAUGCUAUGGCAGCUGUGUUAAAAAAAGAAGUAUGUCUCACUUAUAAUCCCAUAGCUGUACCUUGGGUCGAUGGUGCUUCUCUCUUUGAGAUGCUUUCAACUUAGACACCUGCUAUACUUGUUAGUUGUUACCCUACAAAUGUGAAACUCUUGUCCAUCCUGGUCUACCUAUGCUACACAUUGAAACCUAUAUUUUUCUAAGCAUUGAAGUUGAGCAGUCCAUUUACCAGGAUAUGCAAGUUAAUCAUUUUGGAAUCCAUAAGGAUUUGAUUUGAGAUCUACUUUCAUGGAUAAGUAAACUCCUGCUUUAGGAGUAAAUUGCAUGUCAAUUGAAAGAAGUUUCUUAUGUAUACCCAUCAUUUGUUUAAGAAUAGUGCCAUUUAAUGCAAUUCCUGGAAAUUUGGGAUCAAAUCACUUGGUGCAUUACAGAUAUGUGUUGGACAUAUGAAAAUUAGAAGUUGAAUAGCAAGUUGCAGUGAACAUGGGAUGUUUUUCCUACUGGUGUUUGUCUCACAAAUAGCAACAGAUGACUUUUAGAGAUAUCUCAUUUUAUAUAUAUAUGGUCAGAAGUUUGUAGUUAGCUGAUACUAGUUUAGUACCAUACACAAUGAGAGAGGUAGAAAAUACUGGACUCUACUAAGUGGGCACCGCAGCCAGUCAGCCACACACACUAAGCUAUAAUACUGAUGCCAUGAUUUGGAUAAAAAAAGAAGAAUUCAAUUCCUGCUACACUAUUUGUUUCUGAAUAUUUAUGCCAAAAAUUCCAGCAUGUUAUUCGUUGAUGCAAACUCUCUGGCAUUCUGUUUGACACGAGACGUAAAUCGGUUAAAUUGAAUUUUUUAUCUCUAUGUAGGCAUUUAUUGAGAUGCAUUUUGUUUAAUUUCUUUGAAGUUGCUCUAUCCAGGAGAAGAAGUCAAAUGCACUUACAUAUUGCCUUAGUUGGAUAUGUCAUCUUCUGUAAAAUAAUAUAAUAGGAAACUUGUUGCAGAUUACCCUAGAAUGGUUUGCCCCACACCAAAAGAUGGUCACUGCAUAAGAUGAGCAAUGAAGUUGUUUUUCUCCAGAAUUACACUCAUCAAAUGGACUCUUUCUAGCUGUUGAUCAAGCGCAGUAGUCUUCACAUUCCUGGGAUGAAAUUAGGAGCGAGGUACACCAGUUCACUGUCAUCAGCUCAUCAGUUGAGAAACUUACCAAUCUUGGGUAAAUCUAGACGUAAUUCAUGUCCUCUUUUCCUAGACCAGCUUCAUCUUCAUCUCUUUUUAGUUCCAAGCGUAUGCUGCAUUUACGGUAGGGGAGGGAGUCAUAACUGCCUUUUAGAUCAUAUUCUCAUUGUUUUUGCACGUCCUACUAUUGGUUUCACUAGGCAUAUCAGUCAGCAGACUAUCCACCAAGACCCCUGGCUUCUGGCUCGCAAAAAACUGAUGGUUAAGAGUAAGGUUUCUCCCUACUAAUGUUUUCACUUGGCACGUCCCUCCAAAUAUGCAUGGUUGGCAUUUUGGAAACAAACAUAACUUUUUUAUUGAACUAAUCCAUUAUUCUGAUCUGAUUGUAGAUGAUUUAAUAAGGAUACAGCAGCAAGAGCUUGAGUAGUCCAGUGGGAAAACUUUACUAUCAGCAAGCGGUGAACCAAAGUAUUGCUCCAGAGAAGUUUCGAUGCUGGCAGCAAGUCUGGCUACAGAACCAACUUUGAGACUUGGGAAUAACUGUAUGGUAUAGACCUGUAAUUAUGGUUAUUAAACUGAUCCUUUCAACGGCUCACCACACACAAGCAAUGAA